Molecule: ribosomal RNA, 327 nt
Filed under: uncultured eukaryote
Lineage: Eukaryota
Description: partial 18S ribosomal RNA
Rfam family: Eukaryotic small subunit ribosomal RNA
Source: RNAcentral
CCCUUAGAUGUUCUGGGCCGCACGCGCGCUACUCUGACUGACUCAACGAGUGUACAACCUGCUUCGACAGAAGUGGGUAAUCUCCAAAUUUCGUCGUGAUGGGGAUAGAUUAUUGCAAUUAUUAAUCUUCAACGAGGAAUGCCUAGUAAGCGCAAGUCAUCAGCUUGCGUUGAUUACGUCCCUGCCCUUUGUACACACCGCCCGUCGCUCCUACCGAUUGAAUGGUCCGGUGAAGCGUUCGGACCGCUUCCUUUGGACGGGCAACCGUCUGUUGGUCGUGGGAAGUUCGUUAAACCUUAUCAUUUAGAGGAAGGAGAAGUCGUAACA